RNAcentral lists this ribosomal RNA (278 nucleotides) under uncultured bacterium. RNAcentral describes it as "partial 16S ribosomal RNA". It matches the Rfam family "Bacterial small subunit ribosomal RNA", at positions 202 to 474 of the family's 1533-position model. The record is from RNAcentral.
AANGAUGGUUUCGGCUAUCACUUCGGGAUGGGCCUGCGGCGCAUUAGCUUGUUGGUGGGGUAACGGCCUACCAAGGCGAUGAUGCGUAGCCGAGUUGAGAGACUGAUCGGCCACAAUGGGACUGAGACACGGCCCAUACUCCUACGGGAGGCAGCAGUAGGGAAUCUUCCACAAUGGGCGCAAGCCUGAUGGAGCAACACCGCGUGAGUGAAGAAGGGUUUCGGCUCGUAAAGCUCUGUUGUUGAAGAAGAAUGUGCAAGAGAGUNACUGUUCUUGUA